UCAAGGUCUAUAUCCUACAAGGUGAUAUAGAUCCAAAGAUCCAUUGGCAAUAUAGGUCAAGGUCUAUAUCCUACAAGGUGAUAUAGAUCCAAAGAUCCCUUGGCAAUAAAGGUCAAGGUCUGUAUCCUACAAGGUCAUAUAGAUCCAAAGAUCUAUUGGCAAUAUAGGUCAAGGUCUAUAUCCUACAAGGUCAUAUAGAUCCAAAGAUCCCUUGGCAAUAAAGGUCAAGGUCUAUAUCCUACAAGGUCAUAUAGAUCCAAAGAUCCCUUGGCAAUAAAGGUCAAGGUCUAUAUCCUACAAGGUCAUAUAGAUCCAAAGAUCUAUUGGCAAUAAAGGUCAAGGUCUGUAUCCUACAAGGUCAUAUAGAUCCAAAGAUCCCUUGGCAAUAAAGGUCAAGGUCUAUAUCCUACAAGGUGAUUUAGAUCCUUUGUAGCUUGAUGAGAUCUAUGGUGUGUCAAGAAGCUUGUCUUGACAUUCAGUGGACUACAUUGGCUCCUGUAAAGUAGAUAUAAAGUCAAACAAGUCGGCAAACAACUGAACAUAUAUUUGUGUGAUUGCAAUAAUUCUUUUCACCAAAUCAGUUAUCAGCACUGUAAGUUAUGAAAACAAGGUUAUUUGAGUCCAUUUCUAAGCUCAAGAGUCCCUCUGAACUCAUGAGUACAAACCAGAGCCUUGCACAAGAACUCAAAAGGCAUUUUUUGUAAAGUCAGUUUACAAGUUUUGUCUUGCUUGUUCUCUAUAUAUUUUAACAGCAAGUAGUGGUGCUGGGUAACAGGUAAUCUGUCAAUAUCAAAACUAGGGUUUUACAAAUGUUUUUAUUAGUCAGUCUGACUUUUUAACUUUCUGAGUGUACAUUUUGAUUCCAUUUCUAUAUCUUUUUAUAUAUUUUUACAAUUUUUGUAUUUGGGGAUGCCAUAUUUAUUUCAGUGAUGUGAGUGAUAUAUUCAGUGAAGGGCUUCUGUCUAAGGGUUUUCAAUGUUUUUAGGUUGUUGUUUUUUCCAUUUGGAAUACAAAAGUUGCCUUAGGUUCUCAUGUUUCCUGUAGAUUAUGGAAAACCUUUUUCUGGGUUGGGUGUAAUGUUUUGUUUUUUACUCCCAUGUAUUUUAUUAAGUUGUUUCUGUGUUAUUCUGGAAACUCUCUGAAUUGGGGUGUCACUGUAAGGUUCCAGUUCUCAUCAAGAUAAUCUGACUAAUCCAGAUUGACUUUUGGAAAUAGUGUGAGUGUAACUUAUUUUUAAUAAAUAACUUACAACAUA
This 1255-nucleotide long non-coding RNA is filed under the name Haliotis rubra (blacklip abalone). Its description in RNAcentral is "uncharacterized LOC124276033, transcript variant X2". The record is from RNAcentral. Lineage: Eukaryota; Metazoa; Mollusca; Gastropoda; Lepetellida; Haliotidae.